RNAcentral lists this long non-coding RNA (2350 nucleotides) under Phoenix dactylifera (date palm). Its description in RNAcentral is "long non-coding RNA (PDAC_LNC002909)". Lineage: Eukaryota; Viridiplantae; Streptophyta; Magnoliopsida; Arecales; Arecaceae. The record is from RNAcentral.
AAAGUCUUUUUCCAAGACCUCACAGAUAGCUUCUUUUCAUCCUCUUUAAAUAAAGCCGGGCGACCUGCGACCCAGUCUUCUCUCGCUCUCGCAAGAACAAAAGGGUCUUGAGGUAUCCUGCCUAGAAAUUUUCUUGUGCUUUAAUUGGUUGCCAGGAUUCUGGAAACUUCUAUCAGAAUCUUCUGAUUUUUUGAGUACAUCCAGAUUAUUGUACCAGGGUUGCGUUAUAUUAUUAGAUAAACCCUAGAUGUGUAGAUAUUGAAACAGACCAAUUCUAGAAUAGUUGCACUAUAAGUCCAUGGAUAACUUAAAAGUUUUUCUUUUAUGACUUUGAAAUAUUGUGAUUUUGUUUAGUUUUAAAGGAUAUUAAGAUGGCAUUGGAGAAAUUUGGUGGCAACAUUAUUUUCUCAAAUGGACUCUUGGAUCCUUGGAGUGGUGGGAGGUAAUGUACUACAUCGGUUACAUUGUUUUGAUAGCUAAAUUGGUCUCUUUUUUUUUGCCUUGUAUGAGUUCAAUGGUAUCUCUGUUACAUGUUACAGUGUGCUACGGAGCGUAUUUGGGAGUCUAAUUGUACCUAACACUGAACUAGAUACUUCAUUCAAAAUUUGCUGAUGUUUAAUUCUCUAGGCAAAAUUGUGUUGUUAAUAUAGAUCUAAUGUUGUUCCUCAGGGAGCACAUCGUAUUGAAUUGCAUUCUGAAGUAGGAUCCUGAUCGGUAAAGCAGAGGAAAUCAGAAAUUAGUCUGAUGAGUACCUAAAAUCUAUCUAGUGCAUAGCCGAUGCAGGACUAAACAUGGUAAUAACCUAGAACCUCACAUAAAAAAGCUAUCCGAAAGAUAUUAUUUGGGAUCAUUGGCCUUGUAUAAGUAUCCAAAAUCUAUCUAAUACAUAGCCAAUAUGGAAUUAAACAUAUACUCACAAGGGUCCUCACAUACUCCUCUAGUUUAACCUUUGGCAUCAUCACCAAAUUGUAGAUUUUAAUCUAUUCAAAUCCAAUCACAAGCACCAUAAUUCAGGUAACAUCAUCCAUGCCUUGCACAAAAAAAUUACAAGUGCUAACUCAAUCUAUAUGGGAUCGCCCUCAUGGAUCCUGUCGACAUUGAUUGAAAAAAUGCUGGUAUCCUCCAAAAUGCUAAGCAUUUUGAAGCGGAAGUCUUUAUUUUGUCCAAAUAACUCUUCGGCUCAUAUCUGCAUGAUCAAUUUGGCACCAUCAUUCGUUGAGGCAAUGACAUGAGGAAUGAAUGCUCAAGUGACUUAGAUCAUGUGACUUAGAUAAUGCUGCUAAUCCAUGAAACUCAGGUUAUCCUUCAUGCUCUGGGGAUUACCUCUUCUAUCUGCAAUUGAUUUGGUGAUGGCGAAGUCGCCCUCUAACAGCCAAGGCUCUUGAUUUUUUCUUCGAAUAUCAAAAAGCUCAAGAGUGAAUCUCUCAAAGUUGUGUCUGUUGGGCCAUAAACUGAGAGUUGAUAAGGUUCUUUCCCAAAGCUUGACACCAAUGGGAGACAGUGAGAGAGGAGGUCUUCUCCAUAGUAUUUCCGAGGAAAAAAAUGAUUAGAGUUCCAGCCGAUUAAUAUACCCCCUGCUAAACCAUUCGAAUCAAUGUGUGGCCACUCAUCUAUUUUGGAUCCACCAUGGAUUUGAGGAACAGAGGAGCUGGAGAUGCAACCUUUGUUUCUGGGAGCUUGAUUAUGUCACAAGAGGAGGAUAGGAUUAGGUCUCUAAUCGCUCUCCUUUUAGCCGCGGCACCAGAGUUCCAAGACACUAUCAAUAUGUAUGCACAGCAAGACACACCGACUGGGGACCAAAAACCAAUCACCAAAUCUAUUAAAGCAGUUAAACCUCCACGCAUCAAGACAAUCCAUGCGAUGAAAAUGAGAAGAGGAAGCAGCACCCAUGAACUGAGAAAACUUAGAACAUGGGAAUAACACUCUUAAAAUCCUAAGCAGAGAGUCUGUCCUCACCCCAGAUUUCAUCAAAACAAGCAUACAGAGUACCAAUCUAAUCCAAGGCUUAGAAGACAGAAAGUAAAGACUCGGACCAAAGAACCAGUAGAAGAGCAAACCGGUGCUAAGCUGAUAAAUAAGAGAGGUGGAAAGGAAAACUCUGCCACUGAACAAACAGUAGGUGAUGAACUCCUUUUUUUGCACCCGAUCUCUAACUCCACCUAGGCACCUACUCUGUAACUCACCAAUCAAUUGAUCUCAAUAGAUGCUUUCUCCUUCUUGAGGUCAAGAAGAAGGUCCACCAUAUUGCUCUCCAUGUCUAUGGAGAAGGAAAAACCACUUGUCCUCCCCCAUUCCCCAAGAAGUUGAGGUGGAACUGAGCUGAGUGAACGAGAAGGAUCCAAGUUCUCUG